UGAAAAUUACGUUCCAGAAUUGAACAGAAGAGUUAUUGCUGGGGUGCCUUCGAAUGGACUUCUUUUUCGUGAAAUAGCCAACCAAUGAUGCUAGCCUCACAUAAAACCAAAUUCCUCAAAUAUUUAUGGAUAAAGGUGUGCUCUCAGCUGCUGCUCCAGCACCAUCUCUGCCUACCUGCUGCUCCUCAGCCACCAUGAUAAAGGACUAUCCCUCUGAUACUGCUUUAUAUUUUUGGGUGGAAUUUAGAAGACCCCAUUUCAAUGUCUCAGAGAAAAUGUACAAAGCAAAAGCUGAUGGGGCUAAAUCCUUGAAUUGGCAAGCAGAGUUAAAAUAAACUAACCACUUCAGGAAACAGCUUUUUGGUAAGUUUGCCAAUUUUCUAUACUUUUGUGUCUGU
This is a long non-coding RNA of Mus musculus (house mouse), 398 nucleotides long. RefSeq annotates it as predicted gene, 39254. Lineage: Eukaryota; Metazoa; Chordata; Mammalia; Rodentia; Muridae. The record is from RefSeq and is a predicted model, not a curated record. The transcript is spliced from 3 exons.